AUGAAAACCAGCCCUGCCCUGACCUUGCAGCUCAAGCAGAAGAGCCCAGCCCUGGAUUCCAAAUCCUCUCACUCAGUGAUUAUCACUGAACACAGAACUCUCACCAUGGGUUUGAGGCUCAGCUGGUUUUUCUUUGUCCUUAUUAUAAAAGGUGCCCAGUGUGAUGUGCAGCUAGUGGAGUCUGGGGGAGGCUUAGUACAGCCUGGAAAGUCCCUGAAACUCUCCUGUGCAGCCUCUGGAUUCACAUUCAGUAACAAUUACAUGAGCUGGGUCCGCCAGGCUCCAGGGAAGGGACUGGAGUGGGUUGCAUAUGCAUACAUUAGUGGUGAUAGUGGUUACAUCAAGUAUGCCGAUGCUGUCAAUGGCCGAUUCACCAUCUACAGGGAGAAUGGCAAGAACAUGCUGUACCUGCAAAAGAACAGGCUGAGCUCUGAGGACACAGCCAUGUAUUACUGUACCAUAGUCACAGUGAUACAAUUCUACUGUGAGCUCAGACACAAACCUCCCUGCAGGGUGAUCAGGACCAGCAGGGAGCAACUGGAUCUCAGAGAUAUAGGCAAUUGA
Onychomys torridus (southern grasshopper mouse) is the source of this 564-nucleotide non-coding RNA. Lineage: Eukaryota; Metazoa; Chordata; Mammalia; Rodentia; Cricetidae. The record is from the annotation of a RefSeq genome assembly.